UACGAAGGGUGCAAGCGUUACUCGGAAUUACUGGGCGUAAAGCGUGCGUAGGUGGUUUGUUAAGUCUGAUGUGAAAGCCCUGGGCUCAACCUGGGAAUUGCAUUGGAUACUGGCAGGCUAGAGUGCGGUAGAGGAUGGCGGAAUUCCCGGUGUAGCAGUGAAAUGCGUAGAGAUCGGGAGGAACAUCUGUGGCGAAGGCGGCUCGCUGGGACGUUACUGACGCUGAGACGCGAAAGCGUGGGGAGCAAACAGG
Molecule: ribosomal RNA, 253 nt
Filed under: uncultured bacterium
Lineage: Bacteria
Description: partial 16S ribosomal RNA
Rfam family: Bacterial small subunit ribosomal RNA
Source: RNAcentral